Long non-coding RNA from Fukomys damarensis (Damara mole-rat), 1765 nucleotides. Lineage: Eukaryota; Metazoa; Chordata; Mammalia; Rodentia; Bathyergidae. The record is from Ensembl.
CCCAAGAUGAUUACUCUUCACUCAGAACAAAGAAGAGUGCCAAAAAGGAGGUGCUGCGGGUCAGACAGCAGUGGAACAGCAAAGUCCUGGCCCUUGUGCUGGCAUCGGCAGCCAGCCCGCCCUGACGCCCAGCUCCAGCCUGGACACUCGAUGGUGGGCGGAGCCUUGGUGGCCUCUCUGCUUGGCAGGAAUAAUCCUCUCCCACAGGAUGAGAACUGGAAAUGACCGAGUGGGCCCUCGCACUGCGCCUGCAGCAGCCACUCAGGACGUGGGAGCUGACCUCGCAGGGGGUCGUGUCUGGUGGGUAAAUGUCCCCCAGCGACAUGACAGCCACUGGGCCCACGACUGCUGGCUUCCAGGAGGUCCCACCCUGCUCUGGUUCCACACGGGAGCUGAAAUCUGCAAGCUGGGCAUCCUUGGUCACGUCAGGGACCCGCGUGGAAGUCCGGGGACAGAGGAAAGCCACCAGCUCAGAGACUCUCUGCAGGGGGCCCGAUUGCAGUCUCCCCCUACAUCCGCCCUUCUCAGCUGGAAGCCGUCAGAUGGAAACUGCUCCACUAACGGGACUUAGGGGUGUCUGUUCAGAGAGUGAGGAAGACGAGGUUAGGUAGAAAUACCACAGGCAGUCAGACGGGGCUGGGCCCGUGAGGUCGGCGCAGAGGGCGAGGAUGCGGGGAGCUCGUGGCUGGAGGCAAAGCGGAAGAACAGUGACGUCACAAUGGCCGGGUCCGCCUACUUCCCUAGGGGUGAAGGGAGCUUGGAAUUAUUGGCUGCACCCUGUUGGGCUUUCGGUGUAGCUAGACCAUUGUCUCACUGGGGGCGGCCUUCUUCCUCCACCCAGUAAGACUAAGAAGACUGAGACUACAGAUUAUCAACCAAGUCUGAUGACGUCAUCUGUACACCUUUGUUGCUAUUGGGUCACUGUUACCUAAGCGACUACUCUUGUAAUCUUAUUGGUUGAUUGUAGUUUCCUAAAACUUCCUUUGAGAAUUGGGCUCCUGGCUAACUCAUUCAGGACCCCACCUGCCUCUCCGGGGCUAUUCCUGUUCCCCAAUCCUGUUUCCCAAUAAAUUUUCCUCUUAAAAAAAUUUUUUUGUGUGUGUGAAGAGAGUGAAAAGCGAGUGCACAGGUUGGGAGAAACUAUUUGCUGCUCAUACAUCCAACAAAAGACUUGUUUCCGGAAUAGAUGAGGAUGUAUCAGAUUUUUUUAAAUGAGCAAAAGAUUUGAAGAUUCACCAAAGAAGACAUAAAUGAGAAAUAAGUGGAUGAGAUGUCAGUUUCGUUACCUCAUCAUUAGGGAAAUUCAGAUAAAAAACUAAGUCUAGGGCCAAGGAUGUAGCUCAGUGGUCCCACACCUGCCUGGCAAGCGCAAGGUCCUGAGUUUGAUCCCAGGUUCCAAAAAAAAAUUAUAUGGUACAGCCUUUCUGUGGAAUAAAACAAGAAAGUGUUUUUUUGUUGUUGUCGUUUGGUUUUUUUUGAGACAGAGUCUUGCUAUGUAGUUCAAGCUGCCUUCAAACUCGUGACAAUCCUCCUGCCUCAGCCUCCGAGUGCUGGGAAUACAGGCGUGUAACACCACACCCGGCCUAGGAAAUUUAGUGUAAGAAAUGAAGAGAAGGAACUGGACUUGUCUCAGCUCGCAGAUGGCAUGGUUGAGACAUAGGCCACAACUGGGAUGUGAAUGUUCUGCCAGUUUCAUGCUGGAGGCCUGGUCCCAGUGUGGCUGCUGUGUGAGGAGGGUGGGCGUGGGGCAUCCUUAGAUCACGGG